GUUUGCUGCCUCUACACCAUUGCUGGAGCUGUACUGACCCAGUGCAGGCUUGGCAGCCUCGGCAGCAUCAUGAGCCUUGUUCUGUGAAUCCAACUUCAAAUUUUUCAUCAAAUCUGCAGUUUGAUCAGCUGAUGGUGUAGCGACGGCGGCCAUGGCGGGAUCUGGAUCUGGAGGUCUGGAUCGGGAGGUGGGAGAAACCCUAGAGGGGAGU
This 211-nucleotide unclassified non-coding RNA is filed under the name Hevea brasiliensis (rubber tree). The record is from RNAcentral. Lineage: Eukaryota; Viridiplantae; Streptophyta; Magnoliopsida; Malpighiales; Euphorbiaceae.